Non-coding RNA from Chaetura pelagica (chimney swift), 73 nucleotides. The record is from Rfam. Lineage: Eukaryota; Metazoa; Chordata; Aves; Apodiformes; Apodidae.
UAGGUGGAGGCCUGCUGGUUUGGGCACCUAGCUGUUAACUAGGAGGUUGUGGGAUCGAGGCUCACCUGUUUAG